This 460-nucleotide ribosomal RNA is filed under the name uncultured bacterium. Its description in RNAcentral is "partial 16S ribosomal RNA". It matches the Rfam family "Bacterial small subunit ribosomal RNA", at positions 338 to 795 of the family's 1533-position model. The record is from RNAcentral.
CCUACGGGUGGCAGCAGUGAGGAAUAUUGGUCAAUGGGCGCAAGCCUGAACCAGCCAAGUCGCGUGAAGGAUGAUUGUCCUAUGGGUUGUAAACCUCUUUUGUCGGGGAGCAACGCGCGCCACGUGUGGCGGGACGGAGAGUACCCGGAGAAAAAGCAUCGGCUAACUCCGUGCCAGCAGCCGCGGUAAUACGGAGGAUGCGAGCGUUAUCCGGAUUUAUUGGGUUUAAAGGGUGCGUAGGCGGAAGGUUAAGUCAGCGGUCAAAUGUAGGUGCUCAACACCGGCCUGCCGUUGAAACUGGUGUUCUUGAGUGAGCGAGAAGUAUGCGGAAUGCGUGGUGUAGCGGUGAAAUGCAUAGAUAUCACGCAGAACCCCGAUUGCGAAGGCAGCAUACCGGCGUUCAACUGACGCUGAGGCACGAAAGCGUGGGGAUCGAACAGGAUUAGAUACCCUUGUAGUC